Molecule: ribosomal RNA, 468 nt
Filed under: uncultured bacterium
Lineage: Bacteria
Description: partial 16S ribosomal RNA
Rfam family: Bacterial small subunit ribosomal RNA
Source: RNAcentral
GACGAACGCUGGCGGCGUGCUUAACACAUGCAAGUCGAACGGAAAGGCCCUGCUUUUGUGGGGUGCUCGAGUGGCGAACGGGUGAGUAGCACGUGAGUAACCUGCCCUUGACUUUGGGAUAACUUCAGGAAACUGGGGCUAAUACCGGAUAGGAGCUCCUGCUGCAUGGUGGGGGUUGGAAAGUUUCGGCGGUUGGGGAUGGACUCGCGGCUUAUCAGCUUGUUGGUGGGGUAGUGGCUUACCAAGGCUUUGACGGGUAGCCGGCCUGAGAGGGUGACCGGCCAAAUUGGGACUGAGAUACGGCCCAGACUCCUACGGGAGGCAGCAGUGGGGAAUAUUGCACAAUGGGCGGAAGCCUGAUGCAGCAACGCCGCGUGCGGGAUGACGGCCUUCGGGUUGUAAACCGCUUUCGCCUGUGACGAAGCGUGAGUGACGGUAAUGGGUAAAGAAGCACCGGCUAACUACGUG